UACGUAGGGGGCUAGCGUUGUCCGGAAUCAUUGGGCGUAAAGCGCGUGUAGGCGGUUCGGUAAGUCCGCUGUGAAAGUCGGGGCUCAACCCUCGAAUGCCGGUGGAUACUGUCGGGCUAGAGUGCGGAAGAGGCGAGUGGAAUUCCUGGUGUAGCGGUGAAAUGCGUAGAUAUCGGAAGGAACACCAGUGGCGAAAGCGGCUUCCUGGUCCAGCACCGACGUUCAGGCACGAAAGCGU
Molecule: ribosomal RNA, 238 nt
Filed under: uncultured bacterium
Lineage: Bacteria
Description: partial 16S ribosomal RNA
Rfam family: Bacterial small subunit ribosomal RNA
Source: RNAcentral